RNAcentral lists this ribosomal RNA (253 nucleotides) under uncultured bacterium. Its description in RNAcentral is "partial 16S ribosomal RNA". It matches the Rfam family "Bacterial small subunit ribosomal RNA", at positions 524 to 776 of the family's 1533-position model. The record is from RNAcentral.
UACGAAGGGGGCUAGCGUUGUUCGGCAUUACUGGGCGUAAAGCGCACGUAGGCGGAUUUGUUAGUCAGGGGUGAAAUCCCGGGGCUCAACCUCGGAACUGCCUUUGAUACUGCAAAUCUCGAGUCCGGAAGAGGUGAGUGGAAUUCCUAGUGUAGAGGUGAAAUUCGUAGAUAUUAGGAAGAACACCAGUGGCGAAUGCGGCUCACUGGUCCGGUACUGACGCUGAGGUGCGAAAGCGUGGGGAGCAAACAAG